This 343-nucleotide ribosomal RNA is filed under the name uncultured Anaerolineaceae bacterium. RNAcentral's name for it is "bacterial SSU rRNA". It matches the Rfam family "Bacterial small subunit ribosomal RNA", at positions 1027 to 1382 of the family's 1533-position model. The record is from RNAcentral. Lineage: Bacteria; Bacillati; Chloroflexota; Anaerolineae; Anaerolineales; Anaerolineaceae.
AGCUUGUACAGGUGGCUGCAUGGCUGUCGUCAGCUCGUGUCGUGAGAUGUUCGGUUAAGUCCGCUAACGAGCGCAACCCUCGCUGUGUGUUACAAGUGUCACACGGAACUGCCGGUCAUAAACCGGAGGAAGGUGGGAUGACGUCAAGUCAGCAUGGCCUUUAUAUCCUGGGCUACACACACGCUACAAUGGGAAGGGACAAUAGGUUGCGAAGCCGCGAGGCGGAGCCAAUCCAGCAAAACUUCCCUCAGUUCAGAUUGCAGGCUGCAACUCGCCUGCAUGAAGUUGGAGUUGCUAGUAAACGCAGGUCAGCCAUACUGCGUUGAAUACGUUCCCGGGGCUU